RNAcentral lists this ribosomal RNA (1015 nucleotides) under Zarea fungicola. RNAcentral describes it as "partial small subunit ribosomal RNA". It matches the Rfam family "Eukaryotic small subunit ribosomal RNA", at positions 79 to 1105 of the family's 1831-position model. RNAcentral also lists the same sequence under 3 other names. Lineage: Eukaryota; Fungi; Ascomycota; Sordariomycetes; Hypocreales; Cordycipitaceae. The record is from RNAcentral.
CAGCGAAACUGCGAAUGGCUCAUUAUAUAAGUUAUCGUUUAUUUGAUAGUACCUUACUACUUGGAUAACCGUGGUAAUUCUAGAGCUAAUACAUGCUAAAAAUCCCGACUUCGGAAGGGAUGUAUUUAUUAGAUUAAAAACCAAUGCCCUCUGGGCUCCUUGGUGAUUCAUAAUAACUUUUCGAAUCGCAUGGCCUUGCGCCGGCGAUGGUUCAUUCAAAUUUCUUCCCUAUCAACUUUCGAUGUUUGGGUAUUGGCCAAACAUGGUCGCAACGGGUAACGGAGGGUUAGGGCUCGACCCCGGAGAAGGAGCCUGAGAAACGGCUACUACAUCCAAGGAAGGCAGCAGGCGCGCAAAUUACCCAAUCCCGAUUCGGGGAGGUAGUGACAAUAAAUACUGAUACAGGGCUCUUUUGGGUCUUGUAAUUGGAAUGAGUACAAUUUAAAUCUCUUAACGAGGAACAAUUGGAGGGCAAGUCUGGUGCCAGCAGCCGCGGUAAUUCCAGCUCCAAUAGCGUAUAUUAAAGUUGUUGUGGUUAAAAAGCUCGUAGUUGAACCUUGGGCCUGGCUGGCCGGUCCGCCUCACCGCGUGUACUGGUCCGGCCGGGCCUUUCCCUCUGUGGAACCUCAUGCCCUUCACUGGGUGUGGCGGGGAAACAGGACUUUUACUUUGAAAAAAUUAGAGUGCUCCAGGCAGGCCUAUGCUCGAAUACAUUAGCAUGGAAUAAUAAAAUAGGACGUGUGGUUCUAUUUUGUUGGUUUCUAGGACCGCCGUAAUGAUUAAUAGGGACAGUCGGGGGCAUCAGUAUUCAAUUGUCAGAGGUGAAAUUCUUGGAUUUAUUGAAGACUAACUACUGCGAAAGCAUUUGCCAAGGAUGUUUUCAUUAAUCAGGAACGAAAGUUAGGGGAUCGAAGACGAUCAGAUACCGUCGUAGUCUUAACCAUAAACUAUGCCGACUAGGGAUCGGACGAUGUUAUUUUUUGACGCGUUCGGCACCUUACGAGAAAUCAAAGUG